RNAcentral lists this small RNA (37 nucleotides) under Romboutsia ilealis. Its description in RNAcentral is "CRISPR spacer". Lineage: Bacteria; Bacillati; Bacillota; Clostridia; Peptostreptococcales; Peptostreptococcaceae. The record is from RNAcentral.
AUAGCUUCUAAUACAUUAGCCAUACUCAUACUAUAAU